This 75-nucleotide microRNA precursor is filed under the name Pelobates cultripes (western spadefoot toad). The record is from RNAcentral. Lineage: Eukaryota; Metazoa; Chordata; Amphibia; Anura; Pelobatidae.
UGCAAUACAGCACUGAGGAAGACUCCAGUUGGAGUUGAAACUCCAACUGGAGUCUUCCUCAGUGCUGUAUUGCAC